Molecule: small nuclear RNA, 119 nt
Filed under: Amborella trichopoda
Lineage: Eukaryota; Viridiplantae; Streptophyta; Magnoliopsida; Amborellales; Amborellaceae
Description: snRNA U5
Rfam family: U5 spliceosomal RNA
About the family: U5 RNA is a component of both types of known spliceosome. The precise function of this molecule is unknown, though it is known that the 5' loop is required for splice site selection and p220 binding, and that both the 3' stem-loop and the Sm site are important for Sm protein binding and cap methylation.
Source: RNAcentral
AGCCGUGUGGUGUGCACAAAGCGAACUAUUCUUUCGCCUUUUACUAAAGAAUACCGUGUGCUCGCCACUGAAAGCGGCAUACGCCAAUUUUUGAGCAGGGGCCAUCUCCUAAGGGAUGU